CCGGGUAUUAGCGCCCUCGUAGCUGAAGGGGGGUUCUUGUGCUUGGUUGUUCUGUGGGGUUGGGGGGGUUUCUGCUCACGGCUGAGGUAACCCGCCCCGUCGUGCCCUACCGCCGUUCCUCGCUGUGUUCCUCUAGGCGCAGGCGGUGACCGCCGCCCGCUGUCAGAUACCUUCUCUGAGCGCACCUGGCCGGUAGCCGUGCCGGGCUAAGCCUGCUGCUCGGCCUGGCCCAGCCCCGCGCUAGGCGGAAUUUUGGAGGUGAGGCCGGGGGGGCUUCCACGGAGCUCUCCUUCAGGUGCUGCCGUCGCAGGAGUUGGAAAUUCGAGGCAAAACUCAGAGUAUGGCUUCAAACGUCCGCCGUGCAAACACACCUAAGCAAGAUUUACUUCUGUCACCCUUCAAAUGAAACAGGUCAGUUGAGAGGCUGCUAUAAAAACCAGAAAUGUGAGCACCUACAAUUGGUAUGAAGUAGUCUGCUGCAUGCAGUAUUUGCCAGCAUUUGAAGAAAGUCUUUUGACUCCUGAAGAGAGGGAAGCUCUCAUGAACAGAACUAUGGUAAAAUGUAAGGACCCGAGUGAGUGCGUAGGGAUCACUGCAGCCCUGCAGCGGAUGAAUGAUUGUGAGCGGGUUCCUGAAAAUGCCGUAGUAACAAUCUGAAGGUGCAUCUCCCAGAGAAGCAAAUUUUCAGGUGCAUGAGAAGAAUGAGAAGAAUUAGAAGAUGUGUGAGUGGAAUGACUCCAGAAGAUUGAGAAAAGUGACACAAUCGUACUGAGUUAGAUACAGUAGCAAAGUACGUAGUAUCUUCAAAUCCUGGACUAAAGAUUUUGUCUUAGCUCCAAGCUGGUGCCAGAGAGGAUCUAAGUAGUGACGUAUUGUCUAGAAAUAUAAAUUAAAAAGUUCAGGAUGGCAAAUAUUUAAUAUACUAACCAAGGUAA
Melopsittacus undulatus (budgerigar) is the source of this 935-nucleotide long non-coding RNA. RefSeq lists it as uncharacterized. Lineage: Eukaryota; Metazoa; Chordata; Aves; Psittaciformes; Psittaculidae. The record is from RefSeq and is a predicted model, not a curated record. The transcript has 7 exons.